AACUGUGCGGCACUGUGCCACGGGACCCUGGUCUUUGAAACCUUGGCGUGCGCGAGAAUUUCCCAGUGAGUUUGUUAAAAUGCAGAUUCCUCGGGUCUGCGUAGACAGACUGUGCCCCACGCUUUUCUAAGUCAGUUGUUUCUCGGGCUACCCUUUAAGAGACACUGCUGGAUGGCCUGGUGAAGAAAAUACAGAAACAGAUGGGUACAAGAACUAAGAAAACGGCUAAGAAAGUGUUUUGGUCCUGACUACUACCAUUUCGCUCUGUGAUUUGGGGCAAUUCACAUUGCCCUUUCUUCUUUGUCAAAAGACAAAAUCACAACAAACUUAGUUCAAAGAUUUUUUUUUUCUUAAGAGACGGACUCUGGCAAUGUUGCCCAGGCUGGAAGGCAGUGGCUAUUCACAGGUGCGGUCAUAGCAAUCAUGGCUAUCACAGGUGCAUCCUGGAACUCCUGGCCUCAAGUGAUCCUUCUGCCUCAGCCUCCGGAGUAGCUGGGACUUAAGGUAUGACAGAGCCAAAACUCCAAGUCAUGUCAGUAGGGCAUGCCCAAUAGAAAAUGCUUUGACAUCUAACAACACCCAGAACCAAUGAUUCCUCCCUGUGGUACCAAGAAGACCUAGACAUGAUCGGAACCUAAAUGCUGGAACUCUUUCAGGAGCAAAGGGUCUGUUGACCAGAAAGAUCCAGGGGUAAAAUCCACCUCAACAUACCCGUGUAGUCAAAUUUGACACCCUCCAAUCAGACCCUGCCAAGCCAAAAUUCCUAAUACGUUUCCUUGCCAUCUGUAUUAGUCUGUUUUCACGCUGCUGACAAAGACAU
RNAcentral lists this long non-coding RNA (820 nucleotides) under Homo sapiens (human). RNAcentral's name for it is "non-protein coding lnc-TMEM109-4:4". The record is from RNAcentral. Lineage: Eukaryota; Metazoa; Chordata; Mammalia; Primates; Hominidae.